RNAcentral lists this ribosomal RNA (860 nucleotides) under uncultured bacterium. RNAcentral describes it as "bacterial SSU rRNA". It matches the Rfam family "Bacterial small subunit ribosomal RNA", at positions 644 to 1504 of the family's 1533-position model. The record is from RNAcentral.
GAGUGUGGUAGGGGCAGAGGGAAUUCCCGGUGUAGCGGUGAAAUGCGUAGAUAUCGGGAAGAACACCAGUGGCGAAGGCGCUCUGCUGGGCCAUCACUGACGCUCAUGGACGAAAGCCAGGGGAGCGAAAGGGAUUAGAUACCCCUGUAGUCCUGGCCGUAAACGAUGAACACUAGGUGUCGGGGGAAUCGACCCCCUCGGUGUCGUAGCCAACGCGUUAAGUGUUCCGCCUGGGGAGUACGCACGCAAGUGUGAAACUCAAAGGAAUUGACGGGGGCCCGCACAGGCGGUGGAGUAUGUGGUUUAAUUCGAUGCAACGCGAAGAACCUUACCAGGGUUUGACAUCCUGCGAAUCUCUUGGAAACGAGAGAGUGCCUUCGGGAGCGCAGUGACAGGUGGUGCAUGGCUGUCGUCAGCUCGUGUCGUGAGAUGUUGGGUUAAGUCCCGCAACGAGCGCAACCCACGUCUUUAGUUGCCAGCAUUUAGUUGGGCACUCUAGAGAGACCGCCGGUGAUAAACCGGAGGAAGGUGUGGAUGACGUCAAGUCAUCAUGCCCCUUACAUCCUGGGCUACACACGUACUACAAUGCUACGGACAAAGGGCAGCAAGUUCGCGAGGACAAGCAAAUCCCAUAAACCGUGGCUCAGUUCAGAUCGUAGGCUGCAACUCGCCUACGUGAAGGAGGAAUCGCUAGUAAUCGCAGGUCAGCAUACUGCGGUGAAUACGUUCCCGGGCCUUGUACACACCGCCCGUCACACCAUGGAAGUUGGCCACGCCCGAAGCCGUUACUCCAACCCUCGGGAGGAGGACGUCGAAGGUGGGGCUGAUGACUGGGGUGAAGUCGUAACAAGGUAGCCGUA